GACGAACGCUGGCGGCGUGCUUAACACAUGCAAGUCGAGCGGUAAGGCCCUUUCGGGGUACGACGAGCGGCGAACGGGUGAGUAACACGUGGGUGACCUGCCCUCAGCUCUGGGAUAAGCCUGGGAAACCGGGUCUAAUACUGGAUAUGACUCCAUGACGCAUGUUGUGGGGUGGAAAGCCUUGUGCGGCUGAGGAUGGGCCCGCGGCCUAUCAGCUUGUUGGUGGGGUGAGGCCUACCAAGGCGACGACGGGUAGCCGGCCUGAGAGGGCGACCGGCCACACUGGGACUGAGACACGGCCCAGACUCCUACGGGAGGCAGCAGUGGGGAAUCUUGCGCAAUGGGCGAAAGCCUGACGCAGCGACGCCGCGUGAGGGAUGACGGCCUCGGUUGUAAC
RNAcentral lists this ribosomal RNA (397 nucleotides) under uncultured bacterium. Its description in RNAcentral is "bacterial SSU rRNA". It matches the Rfam family "Bacterial small subunit ribosomal RNA", at positions 28 to 429 of the family's 1533-position model. The record is from RNAcentral.